Molecule: ribosomal RNA, 427 nt
Filed under: uncultured bacterium
Lineage: Bacteria
Description: partial 16S ribosomal RNA
Rfam family: Bacterial small subunit ribosomal RNA
Source: RNAcentral
UGGGGAAUAUUGCACAAUGGGCGCAAGCCUGAUGCAGCCAUGCCGCGUGUAUGAAGAAGGCCUUCGGGUUGUAAAGUACUUUCAGCGGGGAGGAAGGUGUUGAGGUUAAUAACCUCAGCAAUUGACGUUACCCGCAGAAGAAGCACCGGCUAACUCCGUGCCAGCAGCCGCGGUAAUACGGUGGGUGCAAGCGUUAAUCGGAAUUACUGGGCGUAAAGCGCACGCAGGCGGUCUGUCAAGUCGGAUGUGAAAUCCCCGGGCUCAACCUGGGAACUGCAUUCGAAACUGGCAGGCUAGAGUCUUGUAGAGGGGGGUAGAAUUCCAGGUGUAGCGGUGAAAUGCGUAGAGAUCUGGAGGAAUACCGGUGGCGAAGGCGGCCCCCUGGACAAAGACUGACGCUCAGGUGCGAAAGCGUGGGGAGCAAACA